CGACAGGUUGCUUUCACACAGUCAUUCUCUGAAGUUUUGCCUGUGCAUAAAACUCAGAACGACAGGUGGAUGCAUAUUAGGAAACUUGUUGCUUGGUGAAUGGUGUCGGGAGCAAGGAUUUAGCUUCAUUUCUGAUGGUAGCUCUGUUUGGAAUGGAAAUAAACUGUACAAAAAGAUGGUUUGCAUCUUUCUCAAAAGGGAACAGAUGUUCUCAGUGAGCAAUUCAACAUUUUUGCUGGG
This is a non-coding RNA of Pelobates cultripes (western spadefoot toad), 240 nucleotides long. Lineage: Eukaryota; Metazoa; Chordata; Amphibia; Anura; Pelobatidae. The record is from the annotation of a GenBank genome assembly.